RNAcentral lists this long non-coding RNA (2579 nucleotides) under Sarcophilus harrisii (Tasmanian devil). RNAcentral describes it as "lncRNA (ENSSHAG00000029680.1)". The record is from RNAcentral. Lineage: Eukaryota; Metazoa; Chordata; Mammalia; Dasyuromorphia; Dasyuridae.
GAAAAGACUCCAAAAUACCUUGAUGGUGUUCUUGCAACUUGUAAGAACCAAGCAUUUCACCAAGAUGGCACAGAGAGCCAGACACAGGAACAUAGAGAGCAAAUGGCAGUAUUUCCAGCAUCAAAGUGAAAGAGAUCAGGCUGUGAUUUCCCUCAGUGAAGCAUAUCCCAGGCCAAGAUGUCCGUGCUUCAGGUUUGAGGGAAUAAAGAAACAACUGAAAACACCCUUCGAACAACGUAAUGUUAUGGGCAGAAUGUUGCCUUUGAACUAACCCAUAAAACAAACUGGCUUCCUUUUAUUUAUUGCUUGCUGGUCUCAGUCUCUUUUUUAACCCAAUAAAGACAGAAACAUCAUAUGGUGAUUACUUGUUAGUUUUAUAUGGCAGUUUUCAAUCAAAGAACUUAAAUCUCUUAAUAAACUAUAAUUGUUUUCUACAAUACCCCAUUAUUAUCCCCAUUUGAGAUUAUAGAAUGUCAGAACUGUAAGGGACCCUAGAAGACAGAAGAAAGAACCUGUGUACAAAACUUGUCUCUUAGGAAAAUCAAGACCCAGAAAAACAAAGGAAUUUGCCCAACAUUAACUAUUCAAAUGCAUUUUCUUCCACUUAAAAAAUCCUUACACUAAUUUCCUCAACAUUUUUUUUCUUUAAAAAAUUUUUAGAAACUAUAGACUAAGAGAGCCAAAUGACUGUUCCCUUAUAAGGAACCAUUAGAUACAGACUUCUGGGUUCCACUCUUUUAAACUGAGAACAUGGGAGAAUUCUGCUAAGUGGGUAUUUUGAUAUCAGUCCAACCCAUGAAUACAUUUUUUGGAGAGAAUUUUAUUAACUCUUACAGACAAUGAAUCAAGUCAUAAAAUCUUAGAUUUGGAAGAUCACCUUGGAAGUCAUGGUGGUGAUAGCUUCCAUUUCCUGUCUUUGCAGUCUUUGCAGGCAGUUAGUGGGAUCGUGUACUAGAUGAGAAGUCAGGAAACUUAUUUGAAUGCUAACUCCAUUAUUCUAAUUAUAUUUGGGGCCCUACCCCCACAUUUCUUUCCUUGAAGCCUCAGUUUCUUUCAAUGUAAUGUGAGUAGCUUGAGCUGGAUGACCUCUAAGAUCUUUGUAGCUUAAAAUUUUCUGAUCUUCUCAAAAAAACAAACAAAUUUUGUGAUCCUCUAACUUCAGUAAGCAAAUAUUUCUUCCUUUUUACAGUUGGGGAACCUGGGGAAUCUAAGUCCUAGAGAGAAAAAGUGACAUAACUAACAAAUGAGUUAAGACUAUAACCAAUGUUUGAUCUCCAAGACCAGUUUUCUCAUUACUUCAAAAUAACUAAUAAGCUAAAAUAAUAAUGAAUAUUCAGGUAUGCAUGUUGUUUUUAGGUUGUUUUUUUUCUAUGUAGCUUUUGCUUCAUAUUUUCCAUAAGACAGGCUCCCCCCAAAAAAACCUCCCUCGAUACCAAAAUAGAAUAUUUGUCUAGUUCCUUUGUGAGGUCAGGAAGUGACCAUUUAUUGUCUAUCAGUACACCUCCAAGGAUAGGGUAAUUCUCAGUCUUUUGACAGAAUUUAUUUCAUUUUUAAACCACUGUUAGACUGACUAUAGCUAGAGGAGCAGCAUGUAGUGGGUUAUUUAAUUUUUGUUUUUAUUUCAUAAAAACUCCUCUGAUACCCCAUGGUAAUCUUGGAUGUGACCUUGGGUUCUUAAAGAUUCUGCCAGUGAAUACUAGUAUGUCAGGUUCCAUUUACGAUCUGUUGUCCAAAUCUAAGUGCGGAGAGCAAGACUUUUUAAGCACAAUAACUGCAGCCUGGUUUUGGGUUUUGAUGUAUUAAGGAUGAAAGAACUAUGCUUAGUGAUCCUACAAAUGAAGGUCUUGAUGGAAGAAUAACAAUCCGUGGUAUUGUUUUUAACUCUGUGGCUAUAGGUCAGUGUCACUUCUCUUCUCUGAGCCUCAAUUUUCUGAUUUGUAAAAUGAAGAUAACAAUACUUGUAUUUUUUAUAUCAUAGAGUUGUUGCAAAGAAAUCAUUUUCAGACUUUACCAUGCUGUUAUGGAGGUCAUUAUUACUGAACAGUUAUAAAUCACUUUACACACGCUGUUCUCUCACAAUAUCCCUGCCCACAUGAGCAAUUGUGCACCAUUUUAGAGCACAUAGAGAAUUGGUAAAAAUGGUUUCCUGAUGUGCCCAAAAGCAAUGAGAAACAUCGGAUCAGGGGACUUUUGUUCAUCUCCUCUUAUUGUGACCAUGGAGAACCUAAGCCAAAAGUCUGCCAUGAAGAAAACUAAAGCUUUUGAACCAACAUCUGUUGCAGAGGGUGAAGGGCUUAGUGAGAUGCUCCAAACAAGCCAGUGUGUGUAUAAUUACUGAUUUCAGGGCAGAUAGAGAACCAUAAUUCCAUUUCCUAAGAUGAUUUUUCCUGCUUGUGAGAUACAGAAAGAGACAACAUUCCACCACCCAGACAUUUUGUAUGGCUUUUUUCUGAGGGCAGUGAAUGGGAAAAUUCCACUCCUAUCCUGAUCUAGUCUGUGUCUGCCUACAGGGAAGAGAGAGAAAUGCCCUUCCAUUGGUCCAGUGGUUGGGCUGCCUGAAACCAGACCCCUAGGGAUAU